Molecule: long non-coding RNA, 1186 nt
Filed under: Chrysemys picta bellii (western painted turtle)
Lineage: Eukaryota; Metazoa; Chordata; Testudines; Emydidae
Description: lncRNA (ENSCPBG00000025573.1)
Source: RNAcentral
GGAGUUGUACAGGAAGGGUCUACUCCCAUUACAUUGAAUUUUUAUACCACGUUUUUAAAUAAAGAAAUAUAAAUGGUUAAGGAGAGGCACCACUUUCUCUGCUUGAAGAGCACUGUAGUCCCUAGGUCUUUCAAUCCGCUGUCGGAAUAAACCCAUGACUUAGACUGGGGUAGUCAAUCAUUUUUUGUCAUGGUCCAAAUAUCUUGAUCAAGGUAUAGUAAAGGUCCAGACUCCAGAGAACAUAAUAGUAAUAAAAAAAAUGAUGAUACUAAAUAAAUAAAUAAAAAGAUUUCUGGGUCCAUUCAAAAGCAUCUGAUGGUCCGGGUUUGGUCCACGGUCUGCCUAUUGACUACCCCUGACUUAGGCUGUGUAAUAUAUUCAUAUCUGGCUAGGAAAUCAUAAACCAGGUUUGAGUUUGGGGUGAGGGGGCAAACUAUGGCAUUCCACAGGUUUUCCACUGGACAGUAGAUCAUUUUUUUGUAGAGGAAAAUGGAAGGAUUUUUCACUCAGACUGUCCUAUUUCAGAAAAUGUUCUGACAUAUACAUUGUCUAUAACUACUACAAUUUAAGGCUUAGCCCUAAAUUUCCUGGACUUUUAUCAAUUUCUCCAGACGUUCUUUGCAUGUGCAUUUCCAGCAAUUCUUCAAUGCCCUGUUUUCAUUUGCAUAGUUCUCUGUGCUAAUAGAACAAGAAUUCAGCCAAGCUUUAAACUGCAUAUUAGUUCUCCUUAAAAUAUGCAUCAUUCCCUCACAGUAGCCCAUUAAGCACAGUAAAAUCCAUAUUUGCUUGACAGAUGGUAACAUUCCUUUGGAAUCGUUCUAUUCUGUCCUGCCAAUGCACUUACCAGGCUCAGGUUGAUCCAAGCAAUAAAAAUCCUUAUGAGGGAAAUGUGUUGCUAGUCUCAGACCAGUGCCCAGUGGACACGUGCACAUUACAAAAAACUAUCCCCACAGGUAGUACCUUGUUAGCAGCCAAGGACUGAAGUGGGAGAGAGUGAGCUGCAGAGGUACAAUUCUUACUGCUCAAAUGCCUGGUCCUAAGCCCAUUGAAGCUGAUUUCAAUGGGCUUUGGAUUAGGUCCUAGAAGAGUUUCUUUCUAGCCGUACUAGCAGCAUUAAGUUCCAAUGCACCAGCUGGGCCACAGAGACUGAGACAAAAGUAAGCUCAUUUCAACUUAUUCAAAAUUU